This 215-nucleotide ribosomal RNA is filed under the name uncultured fungus. RNAcentral describes it as "partial small subunit ribosomal RNA". The stretch from base 46 to 215 matches the Rfam family "Eukaryotic small subunit ribosomal RNA", at positions 693 to 864 of the family's 1831-position model. Lineage: Eukaryota; Fungi. The record is from RNAcentral.
GGAUCAAUAUAUCGGUCGUGCUUCGGUAUGUACUGGUAUUAUUGAUUUCUCCCUUCUGACAAACUAUGAUGUCAUUAAUUUGGUGUUAUAGGGAAUUAGGACUGUUACUUUGAAAAAAUUAGAGUGUUUAAAGCAGGCACACGCUUGAAUACAUUAGCAUGGAAUAAUGAAAUAGGACGUUUGAUCUUAUUUUGUUGGUUUCUAGGAUUGACGUA